RNAcentral lists this ribosomal RNA (245 nucleotides) under uncultured bacterium. RNAcentral describes it as "partial 16S ribosomal RNA". It matches the Rfam family "Bacterial small subunit ribosomal RNA", at positions 524 to 768 of the family's 1533-position model. The record is from RNAcentral.
CACGUAGGGGGCAAGCGUUGUUCGGAAUUAUUGGGCGUAAAGGGCAUGUAGGCGGUUGGGAAAGCCCGACGUGAAAUCCUGCAGCUUAACUGUAGAAUUGCGUUGGGAACUAUCCGACUAGAAUCGUGGAGGGGGAGCUAGAAUUCCAGGUGUAGGGGUGAAAUCUGUAGAUAUCUGGAAGAAUACCGGUGGCGAAGGCGAGCUCCUGGCCAAUGAUUGACGCUGAGGUGCGAAAGCGUGGGGAU